UCACCAACAUAGGGGGGUAUCUUUUCCCAAGC
Molecule: non-coding RNA, 32 nt
Filed under: Syntrophotalea carbinolica DSM 2380
Lineage: Bacteria; Pseudomonadati; Thermodesulfobacteriota; Desulfuromonadia; Desulfuromonadales; Syntrophotaleaceae
Source: RNAcentral